UUCCAUGAUGAGGACAAACAUGAAUGUAUCCUUACAAAUGCUCCAAUGCUUCUAAAAUGGUUUCCAUCUUCUCUUGUUGGAAAUUGCUAAUCUUUCCUCUUAAGGCA
This 107-nucleotide small nucleolar RNA is filed under the name Sorghum bicolor (sorghum). RNAcentral's name for it is "Plant small nucleolar RNA R71". It matches the Rfam family "Plant small nucleolar RNA R71". Rfam says of the family: R71 is a member of the C/D box family of snoRNAs containing the C (UGAUGA) and D (CUGA) box motifs. Multiple nearly identical copies of this snoRNA have been identified in Arabidopsis, and it is thought to function as a 2'-O-ribose methylation guide for 18S ribosomal RNA. Lineage: Eukaryota; Viridiplantae; Streptophyta; Magnoliopsida; Poales; Poaceae. The record is from Rfam by way of RNAcentral.